UACGUAGGGGGCUAGCGUUGUCCGGAUUUAUUGGGCGUAAAGAGCGUGUAGGCGGCCAGGUAGGUCUGGUGUGAAAACUCGAGGCUUAACCUCGAGAUGUCAUCGGAAACCAUCUGGCUAGAGUCCGGAAGAGGAGAGUGGAAUUCCUGGUGUAGCGGUGAAAUGCGCAGAUAUCAGGAAGAACACCAAUGGCGAAAGCAGCUCUCUGGGACGGUACUGACGCUGAGGCACGAAGGCCAGGGGAGCAAACAGG
RNAcentral lists this ribosomal RNA (253 nucleotides) under uncultured bacterium. RNAcentral describes it as "partial 16S ribosomal RNA". It matches the Rfam family "Bacterial small subunit ribosomal RNA", at positions 524 to 776 of the family's 1533-position model. The record is from RNAcentral.